This is a non-coding RNA of Pelobates cultripes (western spadefoot toad), 336 nucleotides long. The record is from the annotation of a GenBank genome assembly. NCBI's taxonomy places the organism in Eukaryota, Metazoa, Chordata, Amphibia, Anura, Pelobatidae.
UAUUAAUACAUUUUAAUUAAUUUAAUUUAAUUAAAUGAAACCAGUAUAAUUACCAGUUGAGUAGAUAUUUCAUCCGAUUGGUAGUCUCAGGAAUUUAUUUGGAUGUGUCUCUGCAUGGAGGUUGGAGUCCCCAAACUUCCAAUUCCUCUCUUUUCUCUCCUUUGCAUAUCUUGCAUCUGCCUCCUUCGUCUUGUCUCUCUAUCUUCCCUUUGUCUUAACUUUUAAAGGGCCAUACUCUCUGUACGUCAUCAGUUGAUAACCCAAUAGAAGCACUAGAGGUGUGGUUAUCUUCCAGAUCGCAAAUUAGUUAUUUGGUCUGUAGAGGGCAGUCUUGCC